RNAcentral lists this ribosomal RNA (403 nucleotides) under Fusobacteriota bacterium. RNAcentral describes it as "Fusobacteria bacterium partial 16S ribosomal RNA". It matches the Rfam family "Bacterial small subunit ribosomal RNA", at positions 355 to 776 of the family's 1533-position model. The record is from RNAcentral. Lineage: Bacteria; Fusobacteriati; Fusobacteriota.
UGGGGAAUAUUGCACAAUGGAGGGAACUCUGAUGCAGCGACGCCGCGUGAACGAAGAAGGCUUUCGAGUCGUAAAGUUCUUUUAUAUGGGAAGAUAAUAACGGUACCAUAAGAAAAAGCCCCGGCUAACUACGUGCCAGCAGCCGCGGUAAUACGUAGGGGGCUAGCGUUGUCCGGAAUCACUGGGCGUAAAGGGUUCGCAGGCGGAAAUGCAAGUCAGGUGUAAAAGGCAGUAGCUUAACUACUGUAAGCAUUUGAAACUGCAUAUCUUGAGAAGAGUAGAGGUAAGUGGAAUUUUUAGUGUAGCGGUGAAAUGCGUAGAUAUUAAAAAGAAUACCGGUGGCGAAGGCGACUUACUGGGCUCAUUCUGACGCUGAGGAACGAAAGCGUGGGUAGCAAACAGG